This 792-nucleotide ribosomal RNA is filed under the name uncultured bacterium. RNAcentral describes it as "bacterial SSU rRNA". It matches the Rfam family "Bacterial small subunit ribosomal RNA", at positions 60 to 848 of the family's 1533-position model. The record is from RNAcentral.
GGGGAAACGACAUCGAAAGCUUGCUUUUGAUGGGCGUCGACCGGCGCACGGGUGAGUAACGCGUAUCCAACCUGCCCACCACUUGGGGAUAACCUUGCGAAAGUAAGACUAAUACCCAAUGACGUCUCUAGAAGACAUCUGAAGGAGAUUAAAGAUUUAUCGGUGAUGGAUGGGGAUGCGUCUGAUUAGCUUGUUGGCGGGGUAACGGCCCACCAAGGCUACGAUCAGUAGGGGUUCUGAGAGGAAGGUCCCCCACAUUGGAACUGAGACACGGUCCAAACUCCUACGGGAGGCAGCAGUGAGGAAUAUUGGUCAAUGGACGAGAGUCUGAACCAGCCAAGUAGCGUGCAGGAUGACGGCCCUAUGGGUUGUAAACUGCUUUUAUAAGGGAAUAAAGUGAGUCUCGUGAGACUUUUUGCAUGUACCUUAUGAAUAAGGACCGGCUAAUUCCGUGCCAGCAGCCGCGGUAAUACGGAAGGUCCGGGCGUUAUCCGGAUUUAUUGGGUUUAAAGGGAGCGUAGGCCGGAGAUUAAGCGUGUUGUGAAAUGUAGACGCUCAACGUCUGCACUGCAGCGCGAACUGGUUUCCUUGAGUACGCACAAAGUGGGCGGAAUUCGUGGUGUAGCGGUGAAAUGCUUAGAUAUCACGAAGAACUCCGAUUGCGAAGGCAGCUCACUGGAGCGCAACUGACGCUGAAGCUCGAAAGUGCGGGUAUCGAACAGGAUUAGAUACCCUGGUAGUCCGCACGGUAAACGAUGGAUGCCCGCUGUUGGUCUGAAUAGGUCAGCGGCC